UGGUGGGGGACAUAAGCCAAGAGAAUCCCUCAAACAUAUUCCCUUUCUUAACAUUGUUGACAAGUGUGAUUGUACCAUGUGUUUUCUUUGAACAAGUAGUGGACAGCAGUGAAAAAAAAAGUAUCAAUUUAAAGAUUCUGGACAGAUUGAAGGAGCCUACAAACGAGGAUAUCAAAAAAGAACGGUUAAAAUAUAUUGAGGCUCUUAACGAGUGCUAAACAUUUUUUUUUCGGUCAUUGCACUCGUUCCUAUAGGAUUGCUAGUGUGACCGACUGGUUGUGGCAUAUGAAGCAGAACAUGAAACGGGAAAACUGACAGUUCCUAACAGUAAGCAUCUUUGUUUAACUUCAAGCCACAGAAUAAACACAGACUGCCAUACACUUGACUUCUUGCUGUUACCCUACCCAUUGUCUGCUGUGGCUGCAUUGUGCGGGGCCAGCUUUAUGGCCAACCCUCAAAUCAGUCUUGUGCCGAGGCAAUGCAAACUGGUACUUUCAUUGAACCGUAACAGCUGGCAAGUGGAGUGCAACACAUUUCAUCGUCCCUGAUAUUCAGACGCAGGUUUACUUACAAUGCCUUUACAAAGAAAAAUUGUUUCACCUCUUAUCUCAGGCACAGCAUCUUUCCCUUUGUUCAAAGCCCUGGGGCAGCCCGUGUAACAUAAGCAGAUAAUUCAUGAUAAGAUUCACGGUAUGUAAGAAAUUGAGUUGUCAACACCACUUUGAGCCACCUCAGUCCGUGACAGGAAAU
Rhincodon typus (whale shark) is the source of this 750-nucleotide long non-coding RNA. RefSeq lists it as uncharacterized. Lineage: Eukaryota; Metazoa; Chordata; Chondrichthyes; Orectolobiformes; Rhincodontidae. The record is from RefSeq and is a predicted model, not a curated record. The transcript has 3 exons.